AGCUUUCCGAAUCCGUGCUGAGAUUUCGUCAGACAUGAACUCAUUUUGGCUGAUCAGACUUCCAAGAUAAGUGAGGUU
Molecule: microRNA precursor, 78 nt
Filed under: Schistosoma curassoni
Lineage: Eukaryota; Metazoa; Platyhelminthes; Trematoda; Strigeidida; Schistosomatidae
Description: mir-3492 microRNA precursor family
Rfam family: mir-3492 microRNA precursor family
Source: Rfam by way of RNAcentral